AAUAGGUUAGGAAAAUAUUUUUGUAUUUUUUGAAUAUUAAAAACUAUUUAAAAUGAACUAAAAAUAACCAGAAAAGAGAAAAUUCACAAAAAAUAUCAAAUGACGAAAUAAAAAAAAUUAAAAAUUAGAAAUAGAAACUAGAAUUUAUUUGGGAAAUAAUGCAAUUGGUCCCAUAUUUUUUGGAUAAAAAAUGAAAGAGAUAUU
This 204-nucleotide long non-coding RNA is filed under the name Lathyrus oleraceus (garden pea). RNAcentral describes it as "Pisum sativum (pea) long non-coding RNA (PSAT_LNC008173)". Lineage: Eukaryota; Viridiplantae; Streptophyta; Magnoliopsida; Fabales; Fabaceae. The record is from RNAcentral.